UGCGCUCUUCAUCUGGGCCAUUGCCCUGCUGCCUAUUUUCAUGCCUUACGGUACGUGAAUCCACUCUGUGCGCGUAUAUGUAUGUAUAUAAAUAUAAUCUUCUUGGCUGUGCUACGGUUGUGUGCACCAUAUCUGAUCCUAUCCAAUCCAUGGUGUUGUUGUAGACGCACAGUACGCUGGAAGUUAUAGUUGUACCAAAUUAAACCUGACC
This 211-nucleotide long non-coding RNA is filed under the name Sorghum bicolor (sorghum). RNAcentral's name for it is "long non-coding RNA (SBIC_LNC009157)". The record is from RNAcentral. Lineage: Eukaryota; Viridiplantae; Streptophyta; Magnoliopsida; Poales; Poaceae.